Long non-coding RNA from Lycium ferocissimum, 1810 nucleotides. RefSeq lists it as uncharacterized. The transcript has 2 exons. Lineage: Eukaryota; Viridiplantae; Streptophyta; Magnoliopsida; Solanales; Solanaceae. The record is from RefSeq and is a predicted model, not a curated record.
ACUCUCCUUAGUUCCACAAAAACUAAAGAGAAUGAGACUGAGAGGCUGUGAAGAGCAUUCAAAAGAGGUAUAUUUCUCUCUCAGUAUAAUAUUCAUCAUUUCUUGUUGUUUACAAAUUUGGCAACACUUUUACAUAAUGAAUAUUGCAUCAUUCAUUUCUUGCAAAUUAUAAGAUUAGCUUCUUAUUAGUUUUUGAGAGGUUAUAAUUAUGAAUGCCUUCCAUGUAUUUUCCUGAGGAUAAGGCGGUGAUAAUAAUAGGUGCAAUAGGGUCUGGUAAGUCUAGGCUUUUCAUAGAUCUAGCCAAUUCAUUUCCGGUAGAGGCUGUGAGUAGUGAAAAGUGCAAGUGUACAAACGUCUUGAUAUAGUUACACACAACUCUGUCUCUGUGGAAACUAGCAUGCAAAGUUCUUCACAAAUCAACGAAGGGUCUUCAGUUCUGCCUUGUGCAUCAUUCUCGGUAAAAAUAUUACCACAUUCGUGACUAUAUAUUGUCCUUUGUACACUUGCAUUUUGUCACUAUUCACAACCGCUGCUGGAAAAUGAUUAGCUAUAGAUCAAAAAGUCUAGAUUUUUUAGUCCUUAUUGCUUCCAUAAUUAUCACCAUCAUGUCCUUUGGUGGGGAAAUAUAUGAAGGAAUCUAUAGUUAGAACCUCUCAGAAACUUAUAAGAGGCUGGCCUUAUUUGCGAGAAACAUAUGAUGCAAUACUCAUAAUGCAGAAGUUACAAAUCUGUAAACAAUAAGAAAAUUGAUGAAGCAAAGAGACUGUGAAGAGAACUGAAAACUUGAGUAUCUCGAUCUUUCUCAGAGGACUCUUGCUACAGAGUUGCCAUUAUGUCCAUCAAUAAUAUGAGUGAGAAGAGAUCUGCGGCAGAUAGAAUUAGCAAUAUUCCUUGUGAUGUUAAAAGCACAAGUACAAAGGGGUGGUACGUUCCGAACUAGUGUUUUGAUGGUAACAUUUGUUAGUGUUAUGAUUUUAAUGAUGACAAAUUGUUGUGUCGGUACUAUACUCAAAGGUUUAACCAAACCCAUUGGACAUAAAAGCCCAAUGAACAAAAAGAGUUCAGUUGGCUGCAAAGGAGUACAAGCCCAAGUCGGCUGCAUAAGGAAAGUAUCUCAAGGCACGAAGAAAAUAAGCUCAUGCUUAUUUUUGGAACAAGGAUCAGAUUUUACUCAAGCAAUCAAAUCAGUACAAUCGUGGAGAUUCAAGCAUUAAAUCAAAUCUGCAUAUACAAAAAAACAAGUACCAUUCAAACAAGGUAAAUGGCGCAUAAGGAAAGCAGUUGUACAACAUUGAUUAGCCAUCAAGGACACAUAAGGAAACAUGUAUCUACUAAAUAAGGGUGAUGCCACAGAAGGAAAGAAGCGUUACAGAUUAAUAAGCUCUUGCUUUAUUCUUGGAAAUUAGGAUCCUCAAUAUUCCUAAUUUACAAGGAUCAAUUCUCUUGGGUUGACAUCUCUGCUAAAGAAGAGUCUAACGGCUAGUUGAUUUGAAGACUAUAUAUUCAAGACUCUAGAGACGAAGAAAAACAUACUUUCGUCUCAUACUCUCAAGCUUUCUGCUUUACUUUUCACAAACAUUGUAUUUUUGAGUGAUAUAGUGUAAACAAAAAAGAAAUGAGAGAUAUAGUAUAGUUUGUGAGGCAUUGUAUCAAAAAGAUCACAAGUGUUUGAGUGUAGACAUGGGAGCUCCAUUCAAACAAACCAUGUACCAAUCCAUUUACAAAGAGCUGUAGAGAACACCUUUGCAACCCAAGGGGACUGGACUAGGAUUCACAUUGAAUUUGAACCAGUAUAAAAUACCUGGUGUCA